RNAcentral lists this long non-coding RNA (1112 nucleotides) under Anser cygnoides (Swan goose). RNAcentral describes it as "lncRNA (ENSACDG00005018841.1)". The record is from RNAcentral. Lineage: Eukaryota; Metazoa; Chordata; Aves; Anseriformes; Anatidae.
AUGUAUGAGUAUGUUCAACAACGUAAUAACAUGAUGCAGUGCAUUAGAUGUAAGCAUCAGUCCAGCAGCUCAGCAUCCCACCUGCUGGCUGGGGGACCACGGGAACAUUGCUGCUGCCUGCCUGCCUGUUGCUCCUGUUGUUGGCUGUGCUCCCACCAGGCUGUUAUGUACAGACAGGAGUCGCAGUUACAAUCUGACUUCUAUGCCCAGUCACCAUAUAAGAAGUUCAUCUGGAUAACUAAUCUGCUCCCCACAGAGGCACCAGAUGGAGAGACCUGCCCCUUCUGGGCAUUGCUUCCUCACUGGUGGACCAGCAGUUCAGAUGUUGACCACAUCAGCUGCUAUCAGUGAAUGGCUUAAGUUGAGCAGAGUGGGUCAUCUAACUCUUGGCUGAGCAGAGGAAGAAUAAUCUGGUAGAGUCACAACUGACAUCAGCUACGAUGCCAUCCUCAAAGCCGUCCUUUAAAUAUGUGGAGUGGGAAGUAUGUAUGAGAAGUGAAGGCUACACAAGACAAGUAUAUCUUGUGGAGUCUCAGGACACAGCUCCAGCAGUGGAUGUUCCACAGGCAAAGUCCAAGGCUGCCUGUCAUCGAGAUGGAAAGGUUUUUCUCUACCCAAAGACCAAAGAGUUACAUGCCACAGAACUUGCACUGUAAUUAAUCACUUGGUGACGUUUCAACAUGUGAGGAAAAAAAAAAAAAGUCUGUCUCUUUCACUUUAGAGUGAAAAACUGUGAAGUCUGUCAGUAAACAUUCUGAUCAGACAUUAAUUUCAUAGCAGUCUCAUUUUGAUGCCUGACACUGCUGUGUCAUCUGGGCUUUUUCAUUCGUUAUGUGCAUUUGUUAUUUUAAUCUUAAAAUGUCUAUCUGUGCAAUUCAGUUGAGAGAUUUCUGUUUUCAAUAAUAUAUUUGCCAUAAUGCUUUCCUUCCUCCUUCAGACCUCUCUGAAAUCAAGCACUGCAGUCCACUGACAUGUUGACAGUUUUGCAUGAAUUUAAGAAAAAGGAGUUGGAAUUGGCUGACAAAGAUUUGUUUAUUAUUAUUAAACUGACUGUGUGUCUAAGUUGCUCUUCUGAAAAUAAAAUUAAGAGAAGGAGAAACUGAAAAAAGUGU